GCUGCGCCUCCGAUCGCGGCCGCCCCGAUCCAGUCGCGGGGCACGCCUCCACCACCGGCCUCCUACGACGCCAAUGGGCAGGCGGCCUACGGUGGUCUUCUGGCCCCGGCCCCGUACCACGAUGCGGCCAGGCCCUAUGGCGUUCCCAUCCAGGCGCCGUACGGCGGCCCGUACCCGGCGCCCUACCUCGCGCCGUCGGCUGCGUCGUAUGCGCUGUAUUUUGCUACAGCCCCGACGUCCUACGCUGCUGCCCAGCCGUACACCGCUCCUCCUGCGCUCCCGUAUGGUGCGCACUCCUCGGCGGCUUACGGCCAUCAUCAACAACCAUCGGCCGAGGCACUAGUCCCGUAUAGGGCUGUUCUGCCGCCUGGUCCAUCGCCUGAUCUGUCGCUCUCCGCGCCGAUGGCCGAACCAGGGCCGUUUCACUUCGCCCAUCUGGUGACGGUGAAGCUUUCUGCUGAUAACUAUCUCCUGUGGCGCGCUCAAGUGUUGCCGCUGAUGCGGAGCCACUACCUUGAAGGAUAUGUUGAUGGCUCCCUGCCGUGCCCUCCGGCUAUGGUUCCGGUGCCCUCGUCUCAUGGUGGCUCUGUCAUGGUCCCCAACCCUGCUCAUCGUCGGUGGACUGCUCAAGAUCAAGCCAUCCUGGGUGCUAUUCGGUCGUCGCUCACUCCACCCGUGGCUGGCAUGGUUGUCUUUGCCGCCACGUCGACGGAUGCAUGGACCAUGCUUGACUCCAGCUUCUCCUCACAGUCGCUCGCACGUUCGUCUGCUAUACGCAAUCAGCUGGGUGAGGUCAAGAAGAAUGAUCUCUCUGUCACUGCUUUCUUCAACAAAGUCAAAAGCUUGGCCGAUACGCUGUCCUCCAUUGGGAAGCCGCUCCGUGAUGAGGAGUUUACUUCAUUCAUUCUUAAUGGGCUGGACGAGGAUUAUGACUCUCUGGUUGAAAAUGUCAACGGGCGUGACACGCCGAUGCCACCCCGUGACCUCUACGCCUGCCUCCUUAACACGGAACAGCGGCUUGCUUCUCGUCGCUCUGUCGGAGUCUACACGGAGGGCCCUUCUGUGAAUGCUGCUCUUCGCGGAGGUGCCCGUGGUGCCAAGCAGAAGCCACCGCCGCCCUCGAGCAACCAGCCUUGUCCGCCCGCUCCCGCUCCUCCAACGGCCGGUCGCAAGCGACUUCACUGCGAGGCGUGUGGUGGUGGUGUCAAGUGUCAGCUUUGCGGUAUUGAGGGGCACUUGGCGUCUCGGUGCCAUCGUCGGUUUAAACGUGAUUUCCUUGGCAUCGAGAACAAUGGGAAGGGCAACGAGAAGCAAGUUGCUCUUGCCACACAGGAGCCCGGGUUCACUCCUUCAUACUCUGUGGACCCUGCCUGGUACAUGGACACAGGCGCCACGGACCACUUGACGAGCCAGCUUGACAAGUUGGCCACUCGACAGCCCUACACCGGCCAUGAUCAGGUUCGCACUGCCAAUGGAUCAGGUAUGCCCAUCUCACAUAUUGGUCAGGCAUCUCUUCUUUCUCGUACCACUAAAACCUUGCGUCUCCUUGAUGUCCUUCGUGUUCCUUCAGUCACACAUAGUUUACUCUUGGUUCCUAAAUUAACUCUUGACAACAAUGUGUUUGUUGAGUUUCAUCCUUUUCAUUUUUUUGUUAAGGAUCGGGACACGAGGGACGUUCUUCUUAGUGGUCGAGCUCGCGACGGCUUAUAUGCGCUUGAUGUGCCACAAGUGCCUGAUGUGCCACGAGUAUCUCAGGUGUUCAGUGGUGUGCGGGUGUCGUCGUCGCAGUGGCAUUCCCGCCUUGGCCACCCUGCCACUCCCAUUGUGCGCCAUGUGCUUCAUCGUCAUCGUCUUCCUGUUGAGUCCAGUAAUAAGGAGUUUCUAGUUUGUGAUGCCUGUCAACAAGGCAAGAGUCAUCAGUUGCCCUUUUCUGUAUCAAGUCAUGUUGUCAAGGCUCUUCUUGAACUUGUGUUUUCCGAUGUGUGGGGCUAUGCCCAAACCUCUGUUAGUGGGCACAACUAUUAUGUCAGUUUCAUAGAUGCUUUCAGUCGCUUUACUUGGCUUUAUCUUAUUAAGCGCAAAUCUGAUGUGUUUCAUGUUUUCAUGCAAUUCCAAGCACAUGUUGAAUGGUUAUUCAAGCACAAAAUUAUUCAUGUUCAGUCUGAUUGGGGAGGUGAAUACCGUAAUCUUAGCACCUUCUUUCAGAAGCUUGGUAUCUCACAUCAUGUGUCUUGUCCUCAUACACAUCAGCAGAAUGGUGCAGCUGUGCGUAAGCACCGUCAUAUAGUUGAAACUGGGCUAACACUUCUUGCACAUGCCUUUGUCCCGUUUCGGUUCUGGAGCGAUGCCUUUGUUACUGCUUGUUUUUUGAUAAACAGGAUUCCCACACGACUUCUUCACAUGAAGUCCCCUCUAGAAGUGUUGCUUCAGGAAACUCCAGAUUACUCCUUUCUCAAAGUGUUCGGUUGUGCGUGUUGGCCACAUCUUCGCCCGUACAAUAAGCAUAAACUUGAGUAUCAGUCGAAAAAAUGCGUGUUCCUCGGAUACAGUCCUCUCCACAAAGGUUACAAAUGUCUCCAUGUUCCAUCAAACCGUGUUUACAUUUCCCGUGAUGUUGUGUUUGAUGAGACUGUCUUCCCUUUUUCCACGCUCACGUCGCCCACUGACACUCCUGUCGCCGAGUUGCACUCGUUUCCAGUAUUGCCUGACCAGUUUGUAGAUGCUGCAUACUCUCCUUUGUUGUUGCCUAACCACGGUGUAGGUGCUGGACGAGGUGCCCGACUGGAGCUGCUUGAUGAUGAUGGUGCGCCACCUACGCCAGCUGUUGCUACGCCGGCU
This 2838-nucleotide ribosomal RNA is filed under the name Triticum aestivum (bread wheat). RNAcentral describes it as "partial small subunit ribosomal RNA". The record is from RNAcentral. Lineage: Eukaryota; Viridiplantae; Streptophyta; Magnoliopsida; Poales; Poaceae.